Long non-coding RNA from Cebus imitator (Panamanian white-faced capuchin), 622 nucleotides. RefSeq lists it as uncharacterized. The transcript is spliced from 5 exons. The record is from RefSeq and is a predicted model, not a curated record. Lineage: Eukaryota; Metazoa; Chordata; Mammalia; Primates; Cebidae.
UGCUUUCUGUCUUGCCAUGUGAUACAGCAGCUUCCUCUUCACCAUCCACCGUGAUUGCAAGCUCCCUGAGGUCCUCACCUGAAGCAGAUGCCAGCAGCACACUUCCUGUACAGCCUGCAGAACUGGACUAGGUUCUGAGUCCUGCUGCCCUGGUCAUCUUUGGGAUUCUGCUCCCUGCAUGCAGACUACUGUUCCAGCCAUGGCUCAAAGGGUUCCAGGUACAGCUGGGGAUACCACUCCUGAGAGCACAAACUGCCCUGAGCUUGAUGUAGAAGUCUACCAUAUGAACCAGAGAGGGUAACUGAACGCAAAUAAAUGACUCCAAUAUCAAGCUAAAGACACGCCUUAAAGGAUGAGGAGGAGCAGAAAUCCCACCAGCAAGGCAAGAAAGAAGCUGCGCAUGAACAGUGUCUGUGAGACCAGAUAGGAUUCCUGCUUUACUGACAAGUAAACGAAGGCUCAACAAAGUGAAAUCUGAGAGAAUUCUAAUAAUUGUGAAACAUUUCCUUUGGUGAAAGUUGGUUCCACAUUUUGCCUCUGCUUUAGGCCCCGAAGGAAAAGAAGUUACAGGAGCCGAUCAGUCUUACACUCUUCCAUGAUCAUAGGCAAGAGGUCCCUGGAU